UACGUAGGUGGCAAGCGUUGUCCGGAAUUAUUGGGCGUAAAGCGCGCGCAGGCGGCCUUUUAAGUCUGAUGUGAAAGCCCCCGGCUUAACCGGGGAGGGUCAUUGGAAACUGGGAGGCUUGAGUGCAGAAGAGGGAAGUGGAAUUCCAUGUGUAGCGGUGAAAUGCGUAGAGAUAUGGAGGAACACCAGUGGCGAAGGCGGCUUCCUGGUCUGUAACUGACACUGAGGCGCGAAAGCGUGGGGAGCAAACAGGAUUAGAUACCCGGGUAGUCCCUGA
RNAcentral lists this ribosomal RNA (277 nucleotides) under uncultured prokaryote. Its description in RNAcentral is "partial 16S ribosomal RNA". It matches the Rfam family "Bacterial small subunit ribosomal RNA", at positions 524 to 800 of the family's 1533-position model. The record is from RNAcentral.